GUUGUAAGGUUAAGCGACUAAGCGUACACGGUGGAUGCCCUGGCAGUCAGAGGCGAUGAAGGACGUGCUAAUCUGCGAUAAGCGUCGGUAAGGUGAUAUGAACCGUUAUAACCGGCGAUUUCCGAAUGGGGAAACCCAGUGUGUUUCGACACACUAUCAUUAACUGAAUCCAUAGGUUAAUGAGGCGAACCGGGGGAACUGAAACAUCUAAGUACCCCGAGGAAAAGAAAUCAACCGAGAUUCCCCCAGUAGCGGCGAGCGAACGGGGAGCAGCCCAGAGCCUGAAUCAGUGUGUGUGUUAGUGGAAGCGUCUGGAAAGGCGCGCGAUACAGGGUGACAGCCCCGUACACAAAAAUGCACAUGCUGUGAGCUCGAUGAGUAGGGCGGGACACGUGGUAUCCUGUCUGAAUAUGGGGGGACCAUCCUCCAAGGCUAAAUACUCCUGACUGACCGAUAGUGAACCAGUACCGUGAGGGAAAGGCGAAAAGAACCCCGGCGAGGGGAGUGAAAAAGAACCUGAAACCGUGUACGUACAAGCAGUGGGAGCACGCUUAGGCGUGUGACUGCGUACCUUUUGUAUAAUGGGUCAGCGACUUAUAUUCUGUAGCAAGGUUAACCGAAUAGGGGAGCCGAAGGGAAACCGAGUCUUAACUGGGCGUUAAGUUGCAGGGUAUAGACCCGAAACCCGGUGAUCUAGCCAUGGGCAGGUUGAAGGUUGGGUAACACUAACUGGAGGACCGAACCGACUAAUGUUGAAAAAUUAGCGGAUGACUUGUGGCUGGGGGUGAAAGGCCAAUCAAACCGGGAGAUAGCUGGUUCUCCCCGAAAGCUAUUUAGGUAGCGCCUCGUGAAUUCAUCUCCGGGGGUAGAGCACUGUUUCGGCAAGGGGGUCAUCCCGACUUACCAACCCGAUGCAAACUGCGAAUACCGGAGAAUGUUAUCACGGGAGACACACGGCGGGUGCUAACGUCCGUCGUGAAGAGGGAAACAACCCAGACCGCCAGCUAAGGUCCCAAAGUCAUGGUUAAGUGGGAAACGAUGUGGGAAGGCCCAGACAGCCAGGAUGUUGGCUUAGAAGCAGCCAUCAUUUAAAGAAAGCGUAAUAGCUCACUGGUCGAGUCGGCCUGCGCGGAAGAUGUAACGGGGCUAAACCAUGCACCGAAGCUGCGGCAGCGACGCUUAUGCGUUGUUGGGUAGGGGAGCGUUCUGUAAGCCUGCGAAGGUGUGCUGUGAGGCAUGCUGGAGGUAUCAGAAGUGCGAAUGCUGACAUAAGUAACGAUAAAGCGGGUGAAAAGCCCGCUCGCCGGAAGACCAAGGGUUCCUGUCCAACGUUAAUCGGGGCAGGGUGAGUCGACCCCUAAGGCGAGGCCGAAAGGCGUAGUCGAUGGGAAACAGGUUAAUAUUCCUGUACUUGGUGUUACUGCGAAGGGGGGACGGAGAAGGCUAUGUUGGCCGGGCGACGGUUGUCCCGGUUUAAGCGUGUAGGCUGGUUUUCCAGGCAAAUCCGGAAAAUCAAGGCUGAGGCGUGAUGACGAGGCACUACGGUGCUGAAGCAACAAAUGCCCUGCUUCCAGGAAAAGCCUCUAAGCAUCAGGUAACAUCAAAUCGUACCCCAAACCGACACAGGUGGUCAGGUAGAGAAUACCAAGGCGCUUGAGAGAACUCGGGUGAAGGAACUAGGCAAAAUGGUGCCGUAACUUCGGGAGAAGGCACGCUGAUAUGUAGGUGAGGUCCCUCGCGGAUGGAGCUGAAAUCAGUCGAAGAUACCAGCUGGCUGCAACUGUUUAUUAAAAACACAGCACUGUGCAAACACGAAAGUGGACGUAUACGGUGUGACGCCUGCCCGGUGCCGGAAGGUUAAUUGAUGGGGUUAGCGCAAGCGAAGCUCUUGAUCGAAGCCCCGGUAAACGGCGGCCGUAACUAUAACGGUCCUAAGGUAGCGAAAUUCCUUGUCGGGUAAGUUCCGACCUGCACGAAUGGCGUAAUGAUGGCCAGGCUGUCUCCACCCGAGACUCAGUGAAAUUGAACUCGCUGUGAAGAUGCAGUGUACCCGCGGCAAGACGGAAAGACCCCGUGAACCUUUACUAUAGCUUGACACUGAACAUUGAGCCUUGAUGUGUAGGAUAGGUGGGAGGCUUUGAAGUGUGGACGCCAGUCUGCAUGGAGCCGACCUUGAAAUACCACCCUUUAAUGUUUGAUGUUCUAACGUUGACCCGUAAUCCGGGUUGCGGACAGUGUCUGGUGGGUAGUUUGACUGGGGCGGUCUCCUCCUAAAGAGUAACGGAGGAGCACGAAGGUUGGCUAAUCCUGGUCGGACAUCAGGAGGUUAGUGCAAUGGCAUAAGCCAGCUUGACUGCGAGCGUGACGGCGCGAGCAGGUGCGAAAGCAGGUCAUAGUGAUCCGGUGGUUCUGAAUGGAAGGGCCAUCGCUCAACGGAUAAAAGGUACUCCGGGGAUAACAGGCUGAUACCGCCCAAGAGUUCAUAUCGACGGCGGUGUUUGGCACCUCGAUGUCGGCUCAUCACAUCCUGGGGCUGAAGUAGGUCCCAAGGGUAUGGCUGUUCGCCAUUUAAAGUGGUACGCGAGCUGGGUUUAGAACGUCGUGAGACAGUUCGGUCCCUAUCUGCCGUGGGCGCUGGAGAACUGAGGGGGGCUGCUCCUAGUACGAGAGGACCGGAGUGGACGCAUCACUGGUGUUCGGGUUGUCAUGCCAAUGGCACUGCCCGGUAGCUAAAUGCGGAAGAGAUAAGUGCUGAAAGCAUCUAAGCACGAAACUUGCCCCGAGAUGAGUUCUCCCUGACCCUUUAAGGGUCCUGAAGGAACGUUGAAGACGACGACGUUGAUAGGCCGGGUGUGUAAGCGCAGCGAUGCGUUGAGCUAACCGGUACUAAUGAACCGUGAGGCUUAACCUUACAACGCC
RNAcentral lists this ribosomal RNA (2919 nucleotides) under Escherichia coli K-12. RNAcentral's name for it is "23S ribosomal RNA from Escherichia coli K-12 (PDB 7BL3, chain A)". It matches the Rfam family "Bacterial large subunit ribosomal RNA". The record is from RNAcentral. Lineage: Bacteria; Pseudomonadati; Pseudomonadota; Gammaproteobacteria; Enterobacterales; Enterobacteriaceae. RNAcentral also lists the same sequence under 1 other name.